GGCUAUUUACAAUACUUUUCUGAGUUUUUUUGUUUACAAAAUUUUUUUUACAGGAUUACAUCUCUAAAUAACAUGACAGACAUACACAGAAAUCAGACUUUUUAUUACGUACAUAAAUAAAUAUUGACUUUAAAUGAGCACAAUAUAAGGGACAUGAUUUCUACAGACCACUUGGAUGAGAAAGUACCAGUUCUCCUAUCUGCACACUAGAAUAUAUUUAAGUAAAGGGAAAAAUAAUAGCUUUAUAUAGACCUCUGUUAAUCACUCUGUAAAUCAUAGAACUUGUUAAAUAUUCAGUGGCGGUAAGACAGUCAGGGGAGUCCACACCUCACAUGAAACUGUAUGGCCAUGCAACACCAUAGCUAAGACGCAACACCUUCAUGGAUUUGUUUCUAUCUUAAAAUCAUCUCUGAAGUACAUGCAGACACCUAGCCAUUGAGUUCUGGCUAUAGUGUGAAUGUUUACUGGAAAAGAUUUAGAGCUGUUUGUAAUCACCCAAAUGUGUGAAACUCAAGGAACCCAUGGUCACAGUGUAAGAAAGAGCAUUAAAUAAAUAAGUUGACUUCACAAAUGCCAUUUACUGGUACCUAAGGUGGAUUAAUACUUCUGCUCACAUGAAUCAGAGACAAGUUGAAAUUCAGUCUUCUAACAAGGUUCUUCAGUGGACACAGAAGAUUCAAGGAAGGUCUUUGAAGUCAAAUGUGUUAAGGUCUUGGCUGGGAUUUUUCCAGGGCUGGUUCCUUCUCAAAGGGCAAUUUCCCUUUGUUCCGUGAAAACCACUCUACUGAACUGGUUUUUAGCGGGAGGUGCCCAUUUCCUAGGGGCAGGGAGAAAUCCUAGGAACAUUAUUUUUUGGUUGCCACAAUUUGGAAAAGGGGAAGUAGCGGGCCGAAGCAGGAUGCUGAUGAAUAUCCCACAAUGCCCAGGCCCCUGCAAUAAAGACCUAGCCAGCCCUCAGUUUAAUAGUGCUGAAGUUGAUACAUCUUGUUCUCUGGAGCCAGUUAUCUAUUCUCUUGGGUUUCUAGAAUUUGGAAUCUCUAAGCAUUGCUUAAGCAGUCACCCACCAUAAGCUUUCUGUCUGUGAUCUAGCCUAUUUAUCAAUGAAUGAUUGAAUGGCAACAUCUUGAUUUGGGAAAGUCAUUCCACAGAGUUCCAUUUCGCAAAAGAGAGAAGCACAGAAAAAUUCAUUAUUAAAGGGUUUUUGGUGUGAGUGAGAAUAAUGCAUACAAUUGUAGUUUAUAUCAACUUAACCAUCUGUCUUUGAUGACAAUAUUUUUGACCAGCUCAAUGUUUGAGUCAAUGCAAACUCUGCAUAUAUUUUUUGUGAGAAAAAUGUAUCUAUUUUAAUACAAUAUAUUAGAGAAUGAAGAACUGAAACUGCUUUAUGAAAAAUGGUACUCACAUGUUUAAAUUUUGAAAAAUUAUAAUUACAUGUUAAUCAUUUGAUUAUUAUUAGAGAUUAUUAAAAUUCAAGACAGAAACAUGUCUCUUUUAUCACCUCAUUAAUAGUUUUCAUCUAA
Long non-coding RNA from Heterocephalus glaber (naked mole-rat), 1520 nucleotides. Lineage: Eukaryota; Metazoa; Chordata; Mammalia; Rodentia; Bathyergidae. The record is from Ensembl.